RNAcentral lists this ribosomal RNA (554 nucleotides) under Rhodotorula diobovata. Its description in RNAcentral is "eukaryotic LSU rRNA". It matches the Rfam family "Eukaryotic large subunit ribosomal RNA", at positions 91 to 657 of the family's 3401-position model. Lineage: Eukaryota; Fungi; Basidiomycota; Microbotryomycetes; Sporidiobolales; Sporidiobolaceae. The record is from RNAcentral.
GAGCGAAGCGGGAAGAGCUCAAAUUUAUAAUCUGGCACCUUCGGUGUCCGAGUUGUAAUCUCUAGAAGUGUUUUCCGCGUUGGACCGCACACAAGUCUGUUGGAAUACAGCGGCAUAGUGGUGAAACCCCCGUAUAUGGUGCGGACGCCCAGCGCUUUGUGAUACACUUUCAAUGAGUCGAGUUGUUUGGGAAUGCAGCUCAAAUUGGGUGGUAAAUUCCAUCUAAAGCUAAAUAUUGGCGAGAGACCGAUAGCGAACAAGUACCGUGAGGGAAAGAUGAAAAGCACUUUGGAAAGAGAGUUAACAGUACGUGAAAUUGUUGGAAGGGAAACGCUUGAAGUCAGACUUGCUUGCCGGAGCUUGCUUCGGUUUGCAGGCCAGCAUCAGUUUUCCGGGGUGGAUAAUGACGGUUUGAAGGUAGCAGUCUCGGCUGUGUUAUAGCUUUCCGUUGGAUACGCCCUGGGGGACUGAGGAACGCAACGUGCUUUUUGCGAAAGACUCGUCUUUUUCACGCUUAGGAUGCUGGUGGAAUGGCUUUAAACGACCCGUCUUGA